GCGCCUGGGGAUGAGCCUGCGGCCCAUCAGCUUGUUGGCGAGGUAAAAGCUCACCAAGGCUACGACGGGUAGCUGGUCUGAGAGGAUGAACAGCCACACUGGAACUGAGACACGGUCCAG
RNAcentral lists this ribosomal RNA (120 nucleotides) under uncultured bacterium. RNAcentral describes it as "partial 16S ribosomal RNA". It matches the Rfam family "Bacterial small subunit ribosomal RNA", at positions 215 to 334 of the family's 1533-position model. The record is from RNAcentral.